RNAcentral lists this transfer RNA (72 nucleotides) under Goniurosaurus liboensis. RNAcentral describes it as "tRNA-Thr". Lineage: Eukaryota; Metazoa; Chordata; Lepidosauria; Squamata; Eublepharidae. The record is from RNAcentral.
GUCCUAGUAGCUUAAUUAUUUAAAGCCUUGAUUUUGUAAAUCAAAAUAUGGGUAUACACUACCCCUAGAACA